UUUUCACUGCUUAGCAUGAAAGGAGAGAGCUAACUGGCCCUUGGGGUUCCUGGAGGAUACAUAGCAUGUUAUGGAAAGGGUAUAUUUAUACAAAGAAUUCCCAAUUUGGCACUUAUGUUUGGAGAAGAAAAAGAAAAGAAAAAACAUCCCUUAAAGAACCUCACUGCAUAAACAGUCUUCAGGCAAUCAGCAGCAUCUAAACAGGAGGCAGAGCUGUAGGCUCAGGGAGAGACAAAUGCAGACCUAUUUAGCCCCCAGAUUGAAGGCCUGCCCGGUCAAACAUUAUUUCACCUGCUGGAACGCCUGUGCCUGUGUUCAAAAAAUAUCAGUCCUAUCACCUCUCAUUCCACUGUG
Molecule: non-coding RNA, 354 nt
Organism: Peromyscus maniculatus bairdii (prairie deer mouse)
Lineage: Eukaryota; Metazoa; Chordata; Mammalia; Rodentia; Cricetidae
Source: RefSeq, a predicted model, not a curated record